Molecule: ribosomal RNA, 491 nt
Filed under: uncultured bacterium
Lineage: Bacteria
Description: partial 16S ribosomal RNA
Rfam family: Bacterial small subunit ribosomal RNA
Source: RNAcentral
AUUGAACGCUGGCGGCAUGCUUUACACAUGCAAGUCGAACGGUAACAGGCCUUCGGGUGCUGACGAGUGGCGAACGGGUGAGUAAUGCAUCGGAACGUACCCAGAGGUGGGGGAUAACGCAGCGAAAGCUGUGCUAAUACCGCAUGUGAUCUGAGGAUGAAAGCGGGGGACCGAGCAGCAAUGUUUGGCCUCGCGCCUUUGGAGCGGCCGAUGUCGGAUUAGCUAGUUGGUGGGGUAAAGGCCUACCAAGGCGACGAUCCGUAGCUGGUCUGAGAGGACGACCAGCCACAGUGGGACUGAGACACGGCCCAGAGUCCUACGGGAGGCAGCAGUGGGGAAGUGUGGAAAAUGGGCGGAAGCCUGAUCCAGCAAUGCCGCGUGCGGGAAGAAGGCCUUCGGGUUGUAAACCGCUUUUGGCAGGAACGAAACGGUGUCCGCUAAUACCGGGCGCUAAUGACGGUACCUGCAGAAUAAGCACCGGCUAACUACGU